GACGAACGCUGGCGGCGUGCUUAACACAUGCAAGUCGAACGGAAAGGCCCUGCUUUUGUGGGGUGCUCGAGUGGCGAACGGGUGAGUAACACGUGAGUAACCUGCCCUUGACUUUGGGAUAACUUCAGGAAACUGGGGCUAAUACCGGAUAGGAUCUCCUGCUGCAUGGUGGGGGUUGGAAAGUUUCGGCUGUUGGGGAUGGACUCGCGGCUUAUCAGCUUGUUGGUGGGGUAGUGGCUUACCAAGGCUUUGACGGGUAGCCGGCCUGAGAGGGUGACCGGCCACAUUGGGACUGCGAUACGGCCCAGACUCCUACGGGAGGCAGCAGUGGGGAAUAUUGCACAAUGGGCGGAAGCCUGAUGCAGCAACGCCGCGUGCGGGAUGACGGCCUUCGGGUUGUAAAACGCUUUCGCCUGUGACGAAGCGUGAGUGACGGUAAUGGGUAAAGAAGCACCGGCUAACUACGUG
Molecule: ribosomal RNA, 468 nt
Filed under: uncultured bacterium
Lineage: Bacteria
Description: partial 16S ribosomal RNA
Rfam family: Bacterial small subunit ribosomal RNA
Source: RNAcentral